GAGAGAGAGAGAGAGAGGUGUGAAAAUGAGAGAGAGAGGUGUGAAAAUGAGAGAGAGAGAGAGAGAGAGAGGUGUGAAAAUGAGAGAGAGAGAGAGAGAGAGAGGUGUGAAAAUGAGAGAGAGAGAGAGAGAGAGAGAGGUGUGAAAAUGAGAGAGAGAGAGAGAGAGAGAGGUGUGAAAAUGAGAGAGAGAGAGAGAGAGAGGUGUGAAAAUGAGAGAGAGAGAGAGAGGUGUGAAAAUGA
Long non-coding RNA from Oncorhynchus keta (chum salmon), 242 nucleotides. RefSeq lists it as uncharacterized. The transcript is spliced from 4 exons. The record is from RefSeq and is a predicted model, not a curated record. NCBI's taxonomy places the organism in Eukaryota, Metazoa, Chordata, Actinopteri, Salmoniformes, Salmonidae.